AUGCCAGCCGAGUUUGGCUCUCUGUGGCACGUCACAGGCAUGGCUGAUGCCUGGAGAAUGAGCUUCUACCCCAGCUCAGAAGCCUUCUUUGCAUUAUGUAUGGGGCUGUUUCUGUUGGUGUUUGCCUAUUACUUCCUGAUGCCCAGGGCGAAGCCGCAGGAAAGGAGGCUGAGAAGACGCCGUUACAGAAAAAACCAGGAGAAUCGCAGAGUUCGGGAUGCCCAUGACUCUUCACAGCCCUCAAAGAAACUAUGUCCCAAACACCCGGAGCUGGAUGGUGUGCCUAGACUAACCCAACAGUUCAACACGAUCCUUGAGGACCUCAACAGAUACAUUGAAAUGUACAGCUUCGAGAUUACUGAGUGCACUGAUGACUCCCUCAAUCCCAUCAGUACAACGGAAACCAGCUCCUCUUCAGGGAUGUCUCUGUCCACUGGGAGAAGGAACUCCUGCACUUCUGUCGUCAAAAUGAAAGCCCAUCGCUCUUCGAAGACCUCUCCACCAUCUUGUAGCAAUGUAUCCAUCACUUCUGUUUUGGACAUGGAUCCCUGCUGCUCUUCAAGGGCCUCCUUUUCCACUUGGAGUGACAACUCCCUUGCUGCCGUUGUGGCAACAAACGCCAGUUGCUCUUCAAAGGCCCCACUGAUCCCAUACAAGGACGACUCCCACACUUACACCAGGAUGAUUGAAGGUGCUUCACAGCUGUCACUCACAACUCUUCUGAAUGGAGCAGACAUGGUUCAAGCUUCCACAGUCCAGCCUUGUCUGCUUCCCAGUACUGUCCCAGAGGAGCAGCAUGACAUGGGCACACAUCCACCCUGCACAAAAGAGAAGGCCAGCUGCCACAGGGCCUACAGAGUGAAGCAGCAACAGAAAGAACUCCAGGACCAGCAGGGUGCUCCCACCCCAC
This 910-nucleotide long non-coding RNA is filed under the name Anas platyrhynchos platyrhynchos (common mallard). RNAcentral describes it as "lncRNA (ENSAPLG00000023984.1)". Lineage: Eukaryota; Metazoa; Chordata; Aves; Anseriformes; Anatidae. The record is from RNAcentral.